UGAUCACACGGAGGACACAAAAAGAGCGUAACAGCAGCUUGCAGUUCAUUCACAAGACCUGAAGGCGACUAACUAGCAGUGGAGAACAAAGCUAAAAGAAAAGAAUGAAAGUUGAAAUAGGUUCUUUCCUGGUGUUGUUGGUGGCGGUGCUCGCUACAGCGAGAACCCGGGACAGGUCGUUCAGAUUUUACGACCAAGACAAGAUAUUCUGUGAUCAACCCAACUGUAUUUGUUAUUACAAGAAUGACCCUUGUCCAACUGGAAUGAGCGAAUGCAGUAACACAUAUUAUUGCACCCUCGACACGAACAAACCUUGUUGCUAUAAAAAACCCAGAGAAAAAGAAUUCUGUGAUUAUCCUGAAUGCACUUGCUACUACAUAGAUGAUCCAUGCCCGUCAGGAACACACGACUGCAGUACUUCAAAAUACUGCACUUUGGAUACAAACAAGGCUUGUUGUAAAGACUAAUUGAGAUGUCGCAAUUGAGAAAAAAGAUCCUCCACAAGCAUUUUAAUUCUUUGAUUUAUAAGUAAUAUUGUGAUACGAAUUGUUAGCCUAGAGAUAAAGAUAACAUUCUGAAUAAAGGGGACUUAAAUAAAUAAAAUUAGUUUUAAAUGGCUCAUUAUAGUGUUU
Molecule: long non-coding RNA, 632 nt
Organism: Dendronephthya gigantea
Lineage: Eukaryota; Metazoa; Cnidaria; Anthozoa; Malacalcyonacea; Nephtheidae
Exons: 5
Source: RefSeq, a predicted model, not a curated record